Molecule: ribosomal RNA, 441 nt
Filed under: uncultured bacterium
Lineage: Bacteria
Description: partial 16S ribosomal RNA
Rfam family: Bacterial small subunit ribosomal RNA
Source: RNAcentral
CCUACGGGAGGCAGCAGUGGGGGAUAUUGCACAAUGGGGGGAACCCUGAUGCAGCGACGCCGCGUGGGUGAAGGAGUGCUUCGGCAUGUAAAGCCCUUUCGGCAUGGAAGUAGCAAGACGUUACCUGACUAAGAAGCCCCGGCUAACUACGUGCCAGCAGCCGCGGUAAUACGUAGGGGGCGAGCGUUAUCCGGAUGCACUGGGUGUAAAGGGAGCGCAGACGGCAUUGCAAGUCUGGAGUGAAAGCCCGGGGCCGAACCCCGGAACUGCUUUGGAAACUGUGCGGCUAGAGUACUGGAGGGGCAGGCGGAAUACAUGGUGUAGCGGUGAAAUGCGUAGAUAUUAGGAGGAACACCAGUGGCGAAGGCAGCCUGCUGGACAGUAACUGACGUUGAGGCUCGAAAGCGUGGGGAGCAAACAGGAUUAGAUACCCCAGUAGUC